Molecule: ribosomal RNA, 1346 nt
Filed under: Arthrobacter sp. ACT048
Lineage: Bacteria; Bacillati; Actinomycetota; Actinomycetes; Micrococcales; Micrococcaceae
Description: bacterial SSU rRNA
Rfam family: Bacterial small subunit ribosomal RNA
Source: RNAcentral
GGAUGAACGCUGGCGGCGUGCUUAACACAUGCAAGUCGAACGAUGAACCUCACUUGUGGGGGGAUUAGUGGCGAACGGGUGAGUAACACGUGAGUAACCUGCCCUUAACUCUGGGAUAAGCCUGGGAAACUGGGUCUAAUACCGGAUAUGACUCCUCAUCGCAUGGUGGGGGGUGGAAAGCUUUUUGUGGUUUUGGAUGGACUCGCGGCCUAUCAGCUUGUUGGUGAGGUAAUGGCUUACCAAGGCGACGACGGGUAGCCGGCCUGAGAGGGUGACCGGCCACACUGGGACUGAGACACGGCCCAGACUCCUACGGGAGGCAGCAGUGGGGAAUAUUGCACAAUGGGCGCAAGCCUGAUGCAGCGACGCCGCGUGAGGGAUGACGGCCUUCGGGUUGUAAACCUCUUUCAGUAGGGAAGAAGCGAAAGUGACGGUACCUGCAGAAGAAGCGCCGGCUAACUACGUGCCAGCAGCCGCGGUAAUACGUAGGGCGCAAGCGUUAUCCGGAAUUAUUGGGCGUAAAGAGCUCGUAGGCGGUUUGUCGCGUCUGCCGUGAAAGUCCGGGGCUCAACUCCGGAUCUGCGGUGGGGUACGGGCAGACUAGAGUGAUGUAUGGGAGACUGGGAAUUCCUGGUGUAGCGGUGAAAUGCGCAGAUAUCAGGAGGAACACCGAUGGCGAAGGCAGGUCUCUGGGCAUUAACUGACGCUGAGGAGCGAAAGCAUGGGGAGCGAACAGGAUUAGAUACCCUGGUAGUCCAUGCCGUAAACGUUGGGCACUAGGUGUGGGGGACAUUCCACGUUUUCCGCGCCGUAGCUAACGCAUUAAGUGCCCCGCCUGGGGAGUACGGCCGCAAGGCUAAAACUCAAAGGAAUUGACGGGGGCCCGCACAAGCGGCGGAGCAUGCGGAUUAAUUCGAUGCAACGCGAAGAACCUUACCAAGGCUUGACAUGAACCGGUAAUACCUGGAGACAGGUGCCCCGCUUGCGGUCGGUUUACAGGUGGUGCAUGGUUGUCGUCAGCUCGUGUCGUGAGAUGUUGGGUUAAGUCCCGCAACGAGCGCAACCCUCGUUCUAUGUUGCCAGCACGUGAUGGUGGGGACUCAUAGGAGACUGCCGGGGUCAACUCGGAGGAAGGUGGGGACGACGUCAAAUCAUCAUGCCCCUUAUGUCUUGGGCUUCACGCAUGCUACAAUGGCCGGUACAAAGGGUUGCGAUACUGUGAGGUGGAGCUAAUCCCAAAAAGCCGGUCUCAGUUCGGAUUGGGGUCUGCAACUCGACCCCAUGAAGUCGGAGUCGCUAGUAAUCGCAGAUCAGCAACGCUGCGGUGAAUACGUUCCCGGGCCUUG